RNAcentral lists this long non-coding RNA (375 nucleotides) under Brassica napus (rape). RNAcentral's name for it is "long non-coding RNA (BNAP_LNC018970)". The record is from RNAcentral. Lineage: Eukaryota; Viridiplantae; Streptophyta; Magnoliopsida; Brassicales; Brassicaceae.
AACCCUUCAUCUUCUCCACAACUUUUCUGCAAAUGUAAAUAUCUCUCCACAUAAAUAUAUCAUCUCUUCGCCUUUAGUUUCCUCUCUUCGACUUCAUUCUUCUCUCAUACACUACACUUUCCUCGUGUUUGAUUGAAACACUUGAUUCGGAGAUUUUUAACCUAGAUUUUUUUUUUUUUUUGGGCGAAACCUAGAUUUUUAUUUGGGGUUAAUUUUUGAGUAGGAGUUUCGGGUUAGCAAUUUUUGUUGGAUCUGGGCUAUUAAUUAAUGGUUCAAGAGACAUAACCGGAUUCUAAUCGGGUCUUUCAUUGGUUUAAAACAGUCUUUCAUUAGUUUAAAACCGGAUAAAUGAUAUCUUCUGUUUAAUUUGAAUAC